Molecule: ribosomal RNA, 253 nt
Filed under: uncultured bacterium
Lineage: Bacteria
Description: partial 16S ribosomal RNA
Rfam family: Bacterial small subunit ribosomal RNA
Source: RNAcentral
UACGUAGGGGGCAAGCGUUGUCCGGAUUUAUUGGGCGUAAAGAGCGUGUAGGCGGCCAUUCAGGUCGGUUGUGAAAACUGGAGGCUUAACCUCCAGACGUCGACCGAAACCGUGUGGCUAGAGUCCGGAAGAGGAGAGUGGAAUUCCUGGUGUAGCGGUGAAAUGCGCAGAUAUCAGGAGGAACACCGGUGGCGAAGGCGGAUCUCUGGGCCAUUACUGACGCUGAGGAGCGAAAGCGUGGGGAGCGAACAGU